ACGUGCCAGCAGCCGCGGUAAUACGUAGGGUGCAAGCGUUAUCCGGAAUUAUUGGGCGUAAAGGGCUCGUAGGCGGUUCGUCGCGUCCGGUGUGAAAGUCCAUCGCUUAACGGUGGAUCCGCGCCGGGUACGGGCGGGCUUGAGUGCGGUAGGGGAGACUGGAAUUCCCGGUGUAACGGUGGAAUGUGUAGAUAUCGGGAAGAACACCAAUGGCGAAGGCAGGUCUCUGGGCCGUCACUGACGCUGAGGAGCGAAAGCGUGGGGAGCGAACAGGAUUAGAUACCCUGGUAGUCCACGCCGUAAACGGUGGAUGCUGGAUGUGGGGACCAUUCCACGGUCUCCGUGUCGGAGCCAACGCGUUAAGCAUCCCGCCUGGGGAGUACGGCCGCAAGGCUAAAACUCAAAGAAAUUGACGGGGGCCCGCACAAGCGGCGGAGCAUGCGGAUUAAUUCGAUGCAACGCGAAGAACCUUACCUGGGCUUGACAUGUUCCCGACAGCCCCAGAGAUGGGGCCUCCCUUCGGGGCGGGUUCACAGGUGGUGCAUGGUCGUCGUCAGCUCGUGUCGUGAGAUGUUGGGUUAAGUCCCGCAACGAGCGCAACCCUCGCCCUGUGUUGCCAGCACGUCGUGGUGGGAACUCACGGGGGACCGCCGGGGUCAACUCGGAGGAAGGUGGGGAUGACGUCAGAUCAUCAUGCCCCUUACGUCCAGGGCUUCACGCAUGCUACAAUGGCCGGUACAACGGGAUGCGACCUCGUGAGGGGGAGCGGAUCCCUUAAAACCGGUCUCAGUUCGGAUUGGAGUCUGCAACCCGACUCCAUGAAGGCGGAGUCGCUAGUAAUCGCGGAUCAGCAACGCCGCGGUGAAUGCGUUCCCGGGCCUUGUACACACCGCC
This 894-nucleotide ribosomal RNA is filed under the name human gut metagenome. RNAcentral's name for it is "bacterial SSU rRNA". It matches the Rfam family "Bacterial small subunit ribosomal RNA", at positions 503 to 1394 of the family's 1533-position model. The record is from RNAcentral.